GGAUGUGAGGGUGAUCUGUCACCCCAUUGAUUAAACGGAUCUGGCUGGCUAGGUGGGUGUCCCCUUCCUCUCUCACGGCUCCAUGUGCAUCCUUCCCUAAGCAGCAGGCUCAGUGAAAGAGGAAAGCAGAAAGGGGAUCAGAGGAAAAUGAUGAGUUAAAAAAUAAAUCAUAUUAUCAAAUACUAGACCUAAAUCCAAACAUUAACGAUUGAAUAUAAAUGGAUUAAAUACCUCUCAAU
Molecule: small nuclear RNA, 239 nt
Filed under: Marmota monax (woodchuck)
Lineage: Eukaryota; Metazoa; Chordata; Mammalia; Rodentia; Sciuridae
Rfam family: 7SK RNA
About the family: 7SK was discovered as an abundant small nuclear RNA in the mid-70s but a possible function has only recently been suggested. Two independent studies have found that 7SK RNA binds the CDK9/cyclin T complex (known as elongation factor P-TEFb). P-TEFb activates transcription by phosphorylating the C-terminal domain of RNA polymerase II.
Source: RNAcentral